Molecule: long non-coding RNA, 380 nt
Filed under: Homo sapiens (human)
Lineage: Eukaryota; Metazoa; Chordata; Mammalia; Primates; Hominidae
Description: non-protein coding lnc-PLXDC2-8:1
Source: RNAcentral
UAGAAGCUUACACUAGGGUAGUGGCAACAGAGGUGGUGAGACACGGCUGCAUUCUGUAUAUUUUGUAAGAGUAGAGACAAUGUGAUCUGUUAAUUAGUUGGCUGUAAGGCAUAAGAAAAAAAAUGAAUCAGGAUAAAUCUAAACUUAUGUCCAGAGUAACUAAAAAGAUGGUUUUCCCUUAACUAAAAUCAAGCUAUCAGGAAGGAACAGUGUGGGUGUAAAGGGAUUACAAGGAGCUUGAUUUUAAGCAAGUUUAAUAGCACUUAUUUUCCAUCAAAUAAUACAAUAUCCUGCUUUGCAAAUGAGCAACAAAAAUUAUAGCAAUGAAAUGAAGAGUCAAGACCCAAUGAGAAAAAGUGCCUCAGCCUCCUGAGUAGCUG